UCACAAGUUCAAGGCCAUAGCAGAAGUCCUCAAGGCUUGGCCCUGUCAGAUUCCAAUGAAUCUGUGAAUUCUGCU
Molecule: ribozyme, 75 nt
Filed under: Crocodylus porosus (Australian saltwater crocodile)
Lineage: Eukaryota; Metazoa; Chordata; Crocodylia; Crocodylidae
Description: Mammalian CPEB3 ribozyme (ENSCPRG00005008668.1)
Rfam family: Mammalian CPEB3 ribozyme
About the family: The mammalian CPEB3 ribozyme is a self cleaving RNA located in the second intron of the CPEB3 gene which belongs to a family of genes regulating messenger RNA polyadenylation. This ribozyme is highly conserved and found only in mammals.
Source: Rfam by way of RNAcentral